GUCCUCAGCCAUAUCACCCUAAAUGCACCCAAUCUUGUGUGAUUUUGGAAGCUAAGUAGGGUUGGGCUUAAUUAGAAUUUGGAUGGGAGAACUCAAUGUCAGAGUAAUUAAUAACCACUGAUAAUA
Ribosomal RNA from Tupaia belangeri (northern tree shrew), 126 nucleotides. Lineage: Eukaryota; Metazoa; Chordata; Mammalia; Scandentia; Tupaiidae. The record is from Ensembl.